This 599-nucleotide ribosomal RNA is filed under the name uncultured bacterium. RNAcentral describes it as "bacterial SSU rRNA". It matches the Rfam family "Bacterial small subunit ribosomal RNA", at positions 390 to 1001 of the family's 1533-position model. The record is from RNAcentral.
AUUGACGCCGCGUGCGGGAUGAAGGCCUUCGGGUUGUAAACCGCUUUCAGUAGGGAAGAAGCGAAGUGACGGUACCUACAAAAGAAGCACCGGCUAACUAUGUGCCAGCAGCCGCGGUAAUACAUAGGGUGCAAGCGUUGUCCGGAAUUAUUGGGCGUAAAGAGCUCGUAGGUUGUUCGUUACGUCGGAUGUGAAAAUCUGAGGCUCAACCUCAGACCUGCAUUCGAUACGGGCGAACUGGAGUGUGGUAGGGGAGACUGGAAUUCCUGGUGUAGCGGUGGAAUGCGCAGAUAUCAGGAGGAACACCAAUGGCGAAGGCAGGUCUCUGGGCCAUUACUGACACUGAGGAGCGAAAGUCUGGGGAGCGAACAGGAUUAGAUACCCUGGUAGUCCAGACCGUAAACGGUGGGCGCUAGUUGUGGGAACCUUCCACGGUUUCUGCGACGUAGCUAACGCAUUAAGCGCCCCGCCUGGGGAGUACGAUCGCAAGAUUAAAACUCAAAGGAAUUGACGGGGCCCCGCACAAGCAGCAGAGCAUGCGGCUUAAUUCGACGCAACGCGAAGAACCUUAACAAAGCUUGACAUAUAGGGAAAAGCCA